UAAUACGGAGGAUCCAAGCGUUAUCCGGAAUUAUUGGGUUUAAAGGGUCCGCAGGCUGUUUGUUAAGUCAGAGGUGAAAUCCUAUCGCUCAACGGUAGAACUGCCUUAGAUACCGACAAGCUUGAGUUAUUGUGAAGUAAUUAGAAUGUGUAGUGUAGCGGUGAAAUGCAUAGAUAUUACACAGAAUACCGAUUGCGAAAGCAGAUUACUAACAAUAUACUGACGCUGAGGGACGAAAGCGUAGGUAGCGAACAGGAUUAGAUACCCUGGUAGUCUACGCCGUAAACGAUGGUCACUAGCUGUUCGAUAUACAUUGGUAUGUUGAGUGGCUAAGCGAAAGUGAUAAGUGACCCACCUGGGGAGUACGCUCGCAAGAGUG
This 379-nucleotide ribosomal RNA is filed under the name uncultured Bacteroidota bacterium. Its description in RNAcentral is "bacterial SSU rRNA". It matches the Rfam family "Bacterial small subunit ribosomal RNA", at positions 521 to 896 of the family's 1533-position model. Lineage: Bacteria; Pseudomonadati; Bacteroidota. The record is from RNAcentral.